UUAAAAAUUUAAAGAAAUGUUCUCUCUCUUUCCUCCGCUUUCUCCCUCAACGCUUAAUUGAUCGGUGGUGAGUUUCGCCAUGGCCUCUGCCAGUUUCCUUGGUAUUGGCACAACCUCUCGUUCAGCAUAAACAGUAAAACACUCAUCUGCUUUGGUUUCGAAAAUGAGAGCACCCGUCCUCGUUUACAAAAUGGAGAGCGCUCUGCUGUGUGCUUCUCGCUUUGUUCCUUCAACAAUUAAGCAUUAUAGUGAAGUGGGUGGCUAGGUGCAUUUGGAAGGAAUUUUCAUACUUCGUUUUCCGUCCAAGUGCCAUACAACAAUUCCCUUUUGAGUAGAAAUAAAGGAGCUGCUUGUAGAAGCCAUAUUGUCAUUGCUUCCGUGGUAAUUUUCAUAUCCUUUUACAGUAUUGAUGUUUGUUUUCAGGUUUCCCUAUUUCUGUCAUUGAACUUUAUUGUGAAAGUGGGGGAAAUUUUUAAAGUGUUCAA
Olea europaea var. sylvestris is the source of this 485-nucleotide long non-coding RNA. RefSeq lists it as uncharacterized. The record is from RefSeq and is a predicted model, not a curated record. The transcript is spliced from 2 exons. Lineage: Eukaryota; Viridiplantae; Streptophyta; Magnoliopsida; Lamiales; Oleaceae.